RNAcentral lists this transfer RNA (76 nucleotides) under Brachybacterium kimchii. RNAcentral's name for it is "Brachybacterium sp. CBA3104 tRNA-Glu". It matches the Rfam family "tRNA". From Rfam's summary of the family: Transfer RNA (tRNA) molecules are approximately 80 nucleotides in length. The record is from RNAcentral. Lineage: Bacteria; Bacillati; Actinomycetota; Actinomycetes; Micrococcales; Dermabacteraceae.
GCCCCCUUGGUCUAGUGGCAAGGACGCCUGGUUCUCAGCCAGGAGAUCACCGGUUCGAUCCCGGUAGGGGGUACCA